AUGGGAACCCUCUGACAGAUGACG
RNAcentral lists this non-coding RNA (24 nucleotides) under Cricetulus griseus (Chinese hamster). The record is from RNAcentral. Lineage: Eukaryota; Metazoa; Chordata; Mammalia; Rodentia; Cricetidae.